GACGAACGCUGGCGGCGUGCUUAACACAUGCAAGUCGAACGGAAAGGCCCUGCUUUUGUGGGGUGCUCGAGUGGCGAACGGGUGAGUAACACGUGAGUAACCUGCCCUUGACUUUGGGAUAACUUCAGGAAACUGGGGCUAAUACCGGAUAGGAGCUCCUGCUGCAUGGUGGGGGUUGGAAAGUUUCGGCGGUUGGGGAUGGACUCGCGGCUUAUCAGCUUGUUGGUGGGGUAGUGGCUUACCAAGGCUUUGACGGGUAGCCGGCCUGAGAGGGUGACCGGCCACAUUGGGACUGAGAUACGGCCCAGACUCCUACGGGAGGCAGCGGUGGGAGAUAUUGCACGAUGGGCGGAAGCCUGAUGCAGCAACGCCGCGUGCGGGAUGACGGCCUUCGGGUUGUAAACCGCUUUCGCCUGUGACGAAGCGUGAGUGACGGUAAUGGGUAAAGAAGCACCGGCUAACUACGUG
This 468-nucleotide ribosomal RNA is filed under the name uncultured bacterium. RNAcentral describes it as "partial 16S ribosomal RNA". It matches the Rfam family "Bacterial small subunit ribosomal RNA", at positions 28 to 507 of the family's 1533-position model. The record is from RNAcentral.